RNAcentral lists this transfer RNA (69 nucleotides) under Aneides flavipunctatus (black salamander). RNAcentral describes it as "tRNA-His". It matches the Rfam family "tRNA". Rfam says of the family: Transfer RNA (tRNA) molecules are approximately 80 nucleotides in length. The record is from RNAcentral. Lineage: Eukaryota; Metazoa; Chordata; Amphibia; Caudata; Plethodontidae.
GUUUAUAUAAUUUAAAUAAGAUAUUAGACUGUGACUCUGACUAUGAGAGUUAAAACCUCUUUAUAAACC